AGCUCCAGUCUGUCCCCUGCUCACUGUGCCCAGCCACCUUCUCCAAGCCCUCCACGCUUAUGCAGCCGCAGGCCCUUGAUGAUGGAAGCAGAGAUGAAGAAAUACUGAUGGGAAUGACUGGAGGGGCAGCUUCCAUUUCCCUGUUCGCUUGAAGCUCUGGAAGUCGAGCCCCACUGGCCAGCGGAGCACUUUUGUGAGACGCGCGCCCAACUGGAGAAUGUCGCGAAGACGGCCCAGGAACAGGCAAGACAUAAACUCAAUGCCCCUCCUUUUCCACCUGGAGCUCUACCUUUACAAAUCUGUAGCACUUGAAGCAAGUCAUCUUGCAGAUCGAUGCUUGAGACCAAAGAGACUUAGGACUGUUAAGAAGAUUAUGCACAUAAAUGUACCAACUAUGACAGCCAUGGUAAGAAGAAUAGGAAGACGGUACCGGGCGCCAGUUUAUCAACCUUUGCCACUUACAAAAUUCACAGCCAAUUUAAUUAAAAAUAUACCAGCACUGUAAGCUGCUAAAAUGACUACGACAAUAAUCAAUCAUUUUGUAAUAGUGUUGAAGAUCCAUUAGGGACGCUGCUCUGGACGCCAGCGUUUUUUAAGCCCAGAUAGUAGGGGCAUUUCGUCCUGUACAAUUAAUGUCACCGCAUGUAAAAUAUUGACUAUCUAUAAAGAAGAAAAUACCAAACAUCUUUAUAACCCACAUUUUUUAUGGUGGAAACUUGCUUAGAAAGGUGCUUUGAAUUUAUUUGUUAUA
Long non-coding RNA from Tupaia belangeri chinensis (Chinese tree shrew), 751 nucleotides. RefSeq lists it as uncharacterized. The record is from RefSeq and is a predicted model, not a curated record. The transcript is spliced from 3 exons. Lineage: Eukaryota; Metazoa; Chordata; Mammalia; Scandentia; Tupaiidae.